GACAUGCAGAGAACUUCCAGAGAUGGAUUGGUGCCUUCGGGAACUCUGACACAGGUGCUGCAUGGCUGUCGUCAGCUCGUGUCGUGAGAUGUUGGGUUAAGUCCCGUAACGAGCGCAACCCUUGUCCUUAGUUACCAGCACGUUAUGGUGGGCACUCUAAGGAGACUGCCGGUGACAAACCGGAGGAAGGUGGGGAUGACGUCAAGUCAUCAUGGCCCUCACGGCCUGGGCUACACACGUGCUACAAUGGUCGGUACAAAGGGUUGCCAAGCCGCGAGGUGGAGCUAAUCCCAUAAAACCGAUCGUAGUCCGGAUCGCAGUCUGCAACUCGACUGCGUGAAGUCGGAAUCGCUAGUAAUCGUGAAUCAGAAUGUCACGGUGAAUACGUUCCCGGGUCUU
Molecule: ribosomal RNA, 399 nt
Filed under: uncultured Pseudomonas sp.
Lineage: Bacteria; Pseudomonadati; Pseudomonadota; Gammaproteobacteria; Pseudomonadales; Pseudomonadaceae
Description: bacterial SSU rRNA
Rfam family: Bacterial small subunit ribosomal RNA
Source: RNAcentral